This 372-nucleotide long non-coding RNA is filed under the name Mus musculus (house mouse). Its description in RNAcentral is "long non-coding RNA chr4:13444769-13445141". Lineage: Eukaryota; Metazoa; Chordata; Mammalia; Rodentia; Muridae. The record is from RNAcentral.
UUUCCACCAACUUGGGGAGCAGUGACCUUCAUAACCUUAAAAAUCUUGUGUUUAGAGGUGCUGUCUUUGUGGAGUCUUGGCAACAGGCAUGGUCGUCUUCUGUAAUGCCUGUGUAGCCUUUUUUGCUUCCUUGGUACACCUGAUAGCCUCCUCUCUCUGAGCUUUCUUAACUUGUGGCUUCUGAUUCCUCUAGGCCAUUAUAUUUGGAAGAGAUACACUAGUAACAGCUCACUGGAACUUGACUGCAUAGUGGGUUCUUUUCUUUUGAUUUUCUUCCCAAUUGUCCUUUUUUUGGUGUUUUCUUCUGAAGAGGGUGGUUCAGUUUAUCUACCAAGAAUUCCUUUUGACAAGGAAUGAAGACUCACAUUUUUU